AAUUAAGCAUAUCAAUAAGCGGAGGAAAAGAAACCAACAGGGAUUCCCUUAGUAACGGCGAGCGAAAAGGGAUGAGCCCAGCAUGUAAAUCUCCGGUUUCCGGCGAAUUGUAGUCUGGAGUAGCAACUCCUGGUGCCGUGCCGGCCCAAGCAUCUUGGAAUAGAUCGCCUCAGAGGGUGAGAGCCCCGUAGGUCGGUACGAGCUCCUACACGGAGUGCUCACGCAGAGUCGGGUUGUUUGGGAAUGCAGCCCCAAUUGGGUGGUAAACCCCAUCUAAGGCUAAAUACCUGUGGGAGACCGAUAGCAAAAAAGUACCUCGAGGGAACGAUGAAAAGACCGCUGGCAAGCGAGUGAAAGAGUGCAUGAAAUUGUAUAGUGGGAAGGGAUGGCCUGGCGUAUUGCCCGCGGGUAUACACUGCUCCUUGAGCUCUUGAAUACACCGUGGGCUGGCUGGUGCCGACACCUGCGCUUGCAAAUCCCCAAACUAAGGUGUUUGGCUCUUCAAGCGCGGGUGUUGAGGUUGAUCGUCGCUUUGUUUUAAACUGCGUCGACAAAGCACCAGCUGAAGCCUGUCCAUCUACCCGUCUUGAAAACACGGAAA
Molecule: ribosomal RNA, 601 nt
Filed under: Cladophora sp. CS2401
Lineage: Eukaryota; Viridiplantae; Chlorophyta; Ulvophyceae; Cladophorales; Cladophoraceae
Description: partial large subunit ribosomal RNA
Rfam family: Eukaryotic large subunit ribosomal RNA
Source: RNAcentral